Molecule: ribosomal RNA, 502 nt
Filed under: uncultured bacterium
Lineage: Bacteria
Description: partial 16S ribosomal RNA
Rfam family: Bacterial small subunit ribosomal RNA
Source: RNAcentral
AUUGAACGCUGGCGGCAUGCCUUACACAUGCAAGUCGAACGGCAGCAUAGGACCUUGCUCCUGAUGGCGAGUGGCGAACGGGUGAGUAAUAUAUCGGAACGUGCCGUAGAGUGGGGGAUAACUAGUCGAAAGACUAGCUAAUACCGCAUACGAUCUACGGAUGAAAGUGGGGGAUCGCAAGACCUCAUGCUCCUGGAGCGGCCGAUAUCGGAUUAGCUAGUUGGGGGGGUAAAAGCCUAACAAGGCAACGAGCAGUAGCUGGUCUGAGAGGACGAGCGGACACAAUGGGACUGAGACACGGCCCAGACUCCUACGGGAGGCGGCAGUGGGGAAUUUUGGACAAUGGGGGCAAGCCUGAUCCAGCAAUGCCGCGUGAGUGAGGAGGGCCUUCGGGUUGUAAAGCUCUUUUGUCAGGGAAGAAACGGUAGUAGCGAAUAACUAUUACUAAUGACGGUACCUGAAGAAUAAGCACCGGCUAACUACGUGCCAGCCGCCGCAGUAA